GGUGUUCCCUGUUAUCCCCAUUAUUAGGGUAUGGGUAGCAUUAAAGAUAAUGCACUCUGUGUUAAUUUAAAAGGGUUGUUUCAAUCUCAGUCUUGCUGAGUGGGGAGUCAUCAGUGUGAGGAUACACAUUAAAAACAAAUCCUAAGUCACUGAAGAAUUGUACAGCCCUGCUUUUUCAGAGCAUUUGAUCUUCGUAGUGCUUUAGCUUGCUCCUUCCUUACAUCCUGUGUAGAUUUUUACAUUACACCUCACUUGGCAAACACGAAUUGCAGGAAGUCAGGAAUUGCUGGGAACAGGAGCACUGUGUUCGGGUGUCGGAGCUGCGCCCCACGCCUCAGGGAAGAGAACAGCAGUGCUUGAAGGGCUGGAGGGACCCAGAGCCUCAGUUCUCCUUCUCCAGCACAGGGGAAGAAGCGUUUCCCUCCCCCCCUGAGUGCUGACACGUUUAGUCCAAUCUGACUUGCAAAGAGCGUUGUGGGCCUUAUGGAAAAGGUGCUACAGAAAUCACAGAAUAUUUUCCUGCUCUCCCUGGCAGGGCAGCACUAGUGUUAUGGAUGGUCCUGCUGCCAUGCAUCUCCCUCUGGCUGACAGUGGGAGCAAUUCAUGUAUAUAAAGCUAAGGGGACCAUUUAGAAGGCUCUUGCUCUAAAUAAUCUGCUAACACUUGUGAUGUACUGAAAGCUGAAAAGCUGAGAAGUUGCUGUUUUCAGGGGAUUUUACAGCAGAAAUGUGCACACGUGUGGCUUGGGAGCUGCACAGGAAAAGAGCUGGCUCUCAAGCAGUGUAUUUUCUUUACUCCUCCUUCUAUUUCACAGCCCUCAUUAUUCAUUUUUCAGUUUUACUGGUAGUUUAUAAGUUAACCAGCUGUUCUUUAACACUGUUCUCUUAUUUCAGGUUUUCUUGAUUGGAUCGGAAAGAAUGCAGACCCAGCCUGGGGCAGAGGGAGCGGGGUGGCCAGAGCCAAUGACACAGCCUGCACACAGUAGGGUUAGCAGGCGCCUGUUUUGGGGAAACCCAGCUUAUAAUUUAGAACAAGCCUCUAAUUCUGAUUCGGCAUUUAUAUUUGUGGGAAAUGCUCCCCAGGAGAGCAUCCAGUGCAGCACAGCCACUGGCAGCCCAGCAGCCAACACUGAUGCUCCAAAUCUUUUUUGUGUGUUUAGAAGUGUAUUCCUGCCUACUCAGCCAAAAUGAGGGUGUUGCUUCAGUCUCACCAGACUGGAAAUCAUACAGGCACAUCAUAUGGAAAACAAACGAUUAUAAAUGUGCAGCCCUUCACCAGCAGUUACAGCUCGUCCUUCCUCCCUGCCUGGAUUUCUGUAUUCUGCCUUAACUCAGUGGUUUCCCUUAUGUUUGUUUGUUUGUUUUCUUUCAAUGGCAAAUGAUGCUUAAAAUACCACAGUCAGAACUGCUCCUCUGGCAUUGUUAGUGUUUGCUGUGUUCUUCAUCUACAGUUUCUGAGGAUGAAAAUGAGUCUUAAACAUCUCGAAUAGCUGACAAGGUAAUACUAGCAAAUCACGAAUGAGUGAUUGAUUUAUGAAUUUGUGUAAGUAUGGCCACUGGACACCUCCCUGUCUGUGUACGUGUGUGCCCUGCCUUGCCAGGUACAACCUCACUCAUGGAAUAACGUUUUUUCUAUGCCUGCUGCAAGCGCCACACAGAGGAGCCUCAUUGCUCUGCAGAGACUGUGCCAUGAAAAACAAACACUGACACCCAAACUCUUCCAGCAGUUAAACCAAGCAUGAGUUUAUGGUAACUGAGCUUCCAGGGGCAGCAAGCACCAUGGCCCAAACAGGAAAUUUGAAGUCUGAUUUUGCUAGGCAAUGUGUGAGUACAGAACUGAUUGACACCUGGGUACCUCUGCUCUCUGAGUAAUGAUUCCAAAAGGCCAGUGCUUACAUUCAGACAUAAUUUCUAUACCGUGCCUUUGACAGGCAGAUGAAGGCAGGUGUGCCCAUGAGACUGGCUGGCUUCCAUUUGCACUACCAGCUGCUGCCAUACCGGUGCAGUGGAGCCACGUUGAACUGGUGCUUGGAGCUGUGGCCAGGUAAGGCUUUCAGCAUCGGCUGUGCAAGGGGAGGCUGCUACCAGUCUGGGAGGUGCUGCAUGCAAACAGGUACUCUGAGGGGAAUGCACUGCUGGCGUGUGGGCACACACAGGAGGUGUGUGAGGCUGAGGUGGUGCAUGCACUGCUGGGGUGAGUCCUUACUGCAGCAAGGCUGUGCUGGGACACCAGGGAGGCAUCACCAUGAGUUAGAGUGGUCCCAAGGAUGCUGUCGCUUGCAAGCUUUGGAUGAGUCCUCUCCCAUCUUUGCCCUCAGUCCCCUUCACAAGCGAUAUGCCUAUUAAUUUAAAAGGAAAGAAAAAAGAUUGCAAGUCCUGAUAUGAUGCUUUUCUUUACCAAGUGAAAUGCUGAAAGCAUUAAAUGUGUAAAGUGAGGGAUGUUGUGAAACGGUUGAGGAAUGGCUUUACGUGCAGCACGUGUUUGUUGUAUUUGUUGUCAGCAGUAGCCACACUGCUGACAGCUGAUGAUGGUUUGCCAUUGGCUCUGGAUGUGGAAAAGUGGUCUCAAUGACAGCAAACAAAUAGAUUCCUUACAAUUAGAUCAAGGCCGCGGACUCUUAGCAUGAUUGCUGUGACAAGGCCCUGUUUUUUGCAACAUGAUCCAUGUAUACAAAUCCCACAUGGAGCAGAGGACAAAACUGCAGUAUUUAUUUGACAUUUCAGUUGAGAAGGAGAAUAAACGUGUUCUGUACUCAUCUUUUUUUUUCAGCAAAAACAAUUAACUUUGGAACAAGGGCUUUGAUCUCUAUCUCUGACAUCACCUUUACACUGAUGUGAUCCUAUAGGCUGCCGUGGGUCAUUGCUGAUUCACACUGGUGUGAGCAGGGAACAAACAGGCUCUGUGCUUAUGGGGCAGUGAAGGUGUUUAUAUUCUGUGAAAAGAAAGAAAAUCGGUUACACAUCUUAAGAGGUAAAUAAGUUAACCAAGAAAUUCAGAUGGAGCCAAAAGCAUUAUAAGCAAGGAUACUGCAAGAAUGUUCUAACUGUACUGCUAGUUUAAAAAUAUACAUAGCCUAAUUAAGUAAAGAUUGACUUAGCUAUAAA
Long non-coding RNA from Tympanuchus pallidicinctus (lesser prairie-chicken), 3104 nucleotides. RefSeq lists it as uncharacterized. Lineage: Eukaryota; Metazoa; Chordata; Aves; Galliformes; Phasianidae. The record is from RefSeq and is a predicted model, not a curated record. The transcript is spliced from 2 exons.